Molecule: transfer RNA, 83 nt
Filed under: Merluccius polli (Benguela hake)
Lineage: Eukaryota; Metazoa; Chordata; Actinopteri; Gadiformes; Merlucciidae
Rfam family: tRNA
About the family: Transfer RNA (tRNA) molecules are approximately 80 nucleotides in length.
Source: Rfam by way of RNAcentral
GUCAGGAUGUCCGAGCCGUCUAAGGCGCUGCGUUCAGGUCGCAGUCUCCCCUGGAGGCGUGGGUUCGAAUCCCACUUCUGACA